Molecule: long non-coding RNA, 626 nt
Filed under: Falco tinnunculus (common kestrel)
Lineage: Eukaryota; Metazoa; Chordata; Aves; Falconiformes; Falconidae
Description: lncRNA (ENSFTIG00000011862.1)
Source: RNAcentral
UCCUCUGCAAGUCCCAGAACUUUAUUUGUAAAUGGGGAAAACGGAGAACCCUGGCAGCUGGCAACCCCCCCUCCCAGCCCCCAGAGACACAGAGGGCUAAAGGAGCCUGCCUGUGAAAAGUGCCUCCGCUUUGGGCUAGUUUUGCAAAAGUUGCGAGGAGCGCAGCGGGACGGAGGGCUGUGGAGGGAGGGGGCAGGACGGGGAUGCAUGUGAUCGUCAGGCUUACCAGCCAGACAGACGGACAAGCGCUCCGCUCCGCCGGCGUUUGGCAGAUUACAAGUGAAUGCAUCAAAGCAGCGAAUAUCUCAGUGAAGUUUCUAGUCAUUGCAGUUAGCUGAGUGUCCCUGCAAGGGCCUCCUCACCAAGUGAUCUGAGUUAAAAGGCUACCACGUGAGCUUGUGCGUUGGUGGAAGCGGGGGAAGCCCAAGCAUGCCUUUGGGGACACCCGAGCCAGGAGAGGCUUGGUGAGCAGUUUGUGGUCAGCCAUGAGGAUGUACCUAGCAGGACACAGCGAGGGACUUGAGGACCAGCAGCUUUGCUUGCACACCUCCACUUUUGCAGUGGCCACAGUCUCACGGCUCCAUUUCAUGGGACAUCUCAGAAGAUUUGCAGUGGUUUUGGAAUGA